CAGAGGGCUCAGCUGCUCCAAGCACGGGGUGGCAUUGGCCACAGGCAGGGUGAGGAUCAGGAGCAAAACCUAGUCCAUCCUGACUGACCCAAGAGACCAUGCAGGUGACAAGUAUAAGAAGGAGUGGGUUUCAGCUCAUCCAUCCCUCUAUUAAUUUAUCUAUCCUCCAAUCAAGCCAUCUAUCCAUCUGUCCAUCCGUCCGUCCAUCCAUCCAUCCAUCCAUCCAUCCAUCCAUCCAUCCAUCCAUCCAUCCAUCCAUCCCCAUGAUCAUCUAGGUGAGUACUUGCUCUGGGCCAGACCUUGUGUCAGUUGCUAGGAUACAGUGAUAAACAGUUCAUGAUCCCUGCCCUGAAAGUGUUCUCAGUCUGGUUAACAGCUAUUCAAAUAAACACCGGCAUCUCCUCAGCAAUAUCAUGCUGUAGUGAAUGUGAAAGUUGUUUCAUGAAUCCAGAGGAUUAACUGACUCCAACUCAAAUGUCACCUCUCUAGAACACUUUCUCUGAUUCCACUGUGUGGCAUGGGAAUUUGAGGGGCAGAGAAGAGGGUGAAGAGCAUUUCUGGCACAUGGACCAGGUGCUGCCAGGCCAGAGUUCUGCAAAUACGUAGCAUGUUCAAGGC
This is a long non-coding RNA of Gorilla gorilla gorilla (western lowland gorilla), 618 nucleotides long. RefSeq lists it as uncharacterized. NCBI's taxonomy places the organism in Eukaryota, Metazoa, Chordata, Mammalia, Primates, Hominidae. The record is from RefSeq and is a predicted model, not a curated record. The transcript is spliced from 3 exons.